GCGGGUGUAGCUCAACUGGAUAGAGCAUCGGUCUACGAAACCGAAGGUUACAGGUUCGAGUCCUGUCAUCCGCG
Molecule: transfer RNA, 74 nt
Filed under: Phycisphaerae bacterium
Lineage: Bacteria; Pseudomonadati; Planctomycetota; Phycisphaerae
Also listed under: 3 other names
Description: tRNA-Arg
Rfam family: tRNA
About the family: Transfer RNA (tRNA) molecules are approximately 80 nucleotides in length. Their secondary structure includes four short double-helical elements and three loops (D, anti-codon, and T loops). Further hydrogen bonds mediate the characteristic L-shaped molecular structure. tRNAs have two regions of fundamental functional importance: the anti-codon, which is responsible for specific mRNA codon recognition, and the 3' end, to which the tRNAs corresponding amino acid is attached (by aminoacyl-tRNA synthetases). tRNAs cope with the degeneracy of the genetic code in two manners: having more than one tRNA (with a specific anti-codon) for a particular amino acid; and 'wobble' base-pairing, i.e. permitting non-standard base-pairing at the 3rd anti-codon position.
Source: RNAcentral